ACUGCACUGCGUCCGCCCUCUUUGUUUCUGUCUCAGUCUCUCUGUCUCCCUUCGUUCUCUUUCUCUCCCCCUGCUACCCCCCCCCACAGUUACACACACACACACACACACACACACACACACACACACACACACGCAGUGUGAAAGAUGCGAGCCAUAGCAUCUCGUAACAUGAAGGCCAUCCAGCUCCAUCCUCCCACUGCUGCUUGAACAAUAUGCUUAACACGUAGUGCCGCAGUCGCUGCUUGGAUUGAAUGUGUUCAUGCACAGAUUUUAUCAUCUUGUUACUCAAACGACUGAUGGCUUCUGACCCUGCCUGAAAAUUUCCUAAGAGGUAACAGUUCUAGGACACAGAGCUCUAUGGGCUAUGUUGAGGAAGCUGCUUACAGACGAAAUUGACAGCAUGAAGAAAGGUGUGGUCCUUACAAGUAUAGGGCCUAUAUUAAUGAAGUAGCCAGGCAUAGCUUCAGCCAGGAGACUGAAGCACCAGAUGCUGGAGGGAGUGGAGGAAGAAGUUUAAUUACCACAUACAGCUCUUCCAUAUGCAAGGUCUCUGGGGCAAAACUGUCAUUCUGUCUGAAGCCAGACCCUCAAUGUCAGACUAAGAGAGUCGGAUGGAGACUACAUCUUCUGUGUGUGUUGCAAUGGGAGGACUUCUCUCCACCGAGUUUAGUGAGGGCAACACUGUCUCACAUGUCUGAAUGCUGUGCUGCACUGUUGACUGUCACUGUUGGGGAUAUUGGAAGAUCACAAGAAACUCCUGAUCCUGAAUACUGGCCUGAGCCUCUUUUGGAAGAGGCCUUCCAGAACCCUACUCUUGCUAGAACUGAAUGCCAGAGCUGUGUAAUGGGGACAUCCUGUUGUGAACUUAUGUCCUUUCUGGACAAAUGUAUUCAAUUUGAGGCAGCAUGCCCAAUGGUUAGCCACUCAACCUCUGAACCCAAACCCCCAGCUCUACUGCUUAAUAGCUAUAUAACCUUGAGAAAAUUCAUUAAUAUUCCUGUACUUCAAUUUUAUCAUGUAUAAAAUAAGGAUAAUAAUUUUACAUGUCUUAUGGGGUUGUUAUGAUGAUUAAAUGGGUUAACAUUUCUAAAAAAUACUUGAACAGUGCCUGAUACAUUGUAAAUGCAUAUAUAUGUGUUUUUAAAAAUAGACAAUUAUAUACCAUUAAAUGUUAACCUGGCUUUGAUGCAGCUAGUUGAUCAAAUAAUCUAAAUCUUUGUAAUUGGAUAGUAAUAGAAAAGAAGGAAGAGAAAGAGAAUAUGCAUGUUUACAAAAGCAAAAGCCUAGGCUUUGGAUGUGGUGAGGACAGACAUCUCUGAGAUGUCCUUAAUUUUAUCCACUUCCAUUGAAUGUUAUUUGCGUUCACCUCUUGUGCAAAAUAAGAACCAAAAGGGAGUCUUCCUUAUUAU
Molecule: long non-coding RNA, 1412 nt
Filed under: Homo sapiens (human)
Lineage: Eukaryota; Metazoa; Chordata; Mammalia; Primates; Hominidae
Description: non-protein coding lnc-UPRT-6:3
Source: RNAcentral